Small nuclear RNA from Trichechus manatus latirostris (Florida manatee), 105 nucleotides. The record is from RefSeq and is a predicted model, not a curated record. Lineage: Eukaryota; Metazoa; Chordata; Mammalia; Sirenia; Trichechidae.
CCCAUUGAAUUGAUGGAAUCAUCUAUAAUUGGAAUGACUUAGAGAAGAAUAGCAUGGCCCCCACUCAAGGACGACAUGCAAAUGUGUGAAAUGCUCCAUAUUUUU